AAAGUCGUAACAAGGUUUCCGUAGGUGAACCUGCGGAAGGAUCAUUAAAAAUUUACCAAAAAAUGAAAGUUUCUUCUUCUUUUGGUGCGCACCGUAACCAAUUUGCCUUGGCAGGGGCUUUGGGUGGAAAAAGAAUCUUUUUUUUACCCAACUUUCGCGUUGACUCCAUCCCACCUAAAAAUGGGACAGUCAUCGUGGAGAGCCGUUUCCCUGCCGAGGAACAACUUAAAAACACAUUUUAAAAACCUUUGUCUGAAAACUUUUUUUUUGUGAUGGCGAAAGUCACGCAAUAAAACCAAAAUAUAACUUUCAACAACGGAUCUCUUGGCUCUC
RNAcentral lists this unclassified non-coding RNA (333 nucleotides) under Basidiomycota sp. RNAcentral's name for it is "partial contains small subunit ribosomal RNA, internal transcribed spacer 1, and 5.8S ribosomal RNA". The stretch from base 1 to 47 matches the Rfam family "Eukaryotic small subunit ribosomal RNA", at positions 1785 to 1831 of the family's 1831-position model. Lineage: Eukaryota; Fungi; Basidiomycota. The record is from RNAcentral.